This 200-nucleotide ribosomal RNA is filed under the name uncultured bacterium. Its description in RNAcentral is "partial 16S ribosomal RNA". It matches the Rfam family "Bacterial small subunit ribosomal RNA", at positions 524 to 723 of the family's 1533-position model. The record is from RNAcentral.
UACGUAGGAGGCGAGCGUUGUCCGGAUUUACUGGGCGUAAAGGGCGCGCAGGCGGCCCACCAAGUACGAUGUGAAAUCUCCCUGCUCAACGGGGAGGGUGCAUAGUAAACUGGUGAGCUAGAGGACGGUAGAGGGGGGUGGAAUUGCUGGUGUAGCGGUGAAAUGCGUAGAGAUCAGCAGGAACACCCGUGGCGAAGGCG